Nippostrongylus brasiliensis is the source of this 72-nucleotide non-coding RNA. Lineage: Eukaryota; Metazoa; Nematoda; Chromadorea; Rhabditida; Heligmosomidae. The record is from Rfam.
ACAUCGGUAGUACAAUGAUCAGUGUAGUCUGCCGAAAACACAAAUACGCGGGUUCAAAUCCCGUCCGAUGUC